This is a long non-coding RNA of Magnolia sinica, 1613 nucleotides long. RefSeq lists it as uncharacterized. The record is from RefSeq and is a predicted model, not a curated record. The transcript has 3 exons. Lineage: Eukaryota; Viridiplantae; Streptophyta; Magnoliopsida; Magnoliales; Magnoliaceae.
AAUGGAUGGUUUAAAAGGACAUGGUCAACCUCCAGACUCAAUUUGCAAAACCAGGUGUUAAUCAAGAAGGUCAGCUUGUGGGUUAACUAGACUAAUCUGGUUUUAAUGUAGGUUCAGGCCAAGCCAGAUGGGGAGUGAGUUGGACUUAAGAUGAAAUUUCAUGUACUGUUUAUGUUCUUGCAGUUCUCUUUCAUUUUAAUGUCAUUCUUCUUGUACUGUUUAUCUUUCAGGUCCGAGCUCUAAAGGAUUUUUUCGAUAUGCUUUCAAAUGUCAGGUUCUGCACUUGAUAUGACAUUUGUGAUGUAUUUUUAUUGUUUUAUAUUUGUAACAACCAGCAACUAUGCUGAUUGAAGAAAUUUCAUGAUAACAUAACUUUAGAAUGUAAUGUUUAAGGGUUCAAAGAACAUACUCUCUACCAACCAAACUUAUGUUUUGAUUUUCCUUUCUUAUAGCAGAUUUUGUGGAAAUUUCAAAACUUCUUUGGUGAGCUUUUCUAUCCCCACUAUUUUCUGUGUUGUAGCCCACUUGAGUUUUGCAUCUGCUUUAGUUUUGGGUUCACGUCCUAACAUGAGCCUAUAAAGCUAAUGAAUGGAUUGAAGCUGGAUGGUUCCCUCCUUUUAGGUUGUACACUUCUAUUAGACUUCUCAUUUGUACAAUUGAAUGUGACCUGGCCCAAAUAUCAGGCCACUUCUUUUUCUUUUCUUUUCUUUUCUUUGUUAUUUUUUUUGUCAACAAUAUCACUCUAAUGUACUCUUUACUCUUCGAUGCAUGUAUGGAAAAUAAAUUGUUUCAAUAUGAAAUUUAAUGGUCCACAACAUAUACGGAAAACAAAUAGUCGAAGGCCAAUAUGUUCACCACCAUAAUUUUUUUGGGUACAGAGGAAUUAAUCCACCUCUCCCAGGUAAUGAACAACGCAAAUCUCCUACAUGUGUGGUGUGUUUGCACUCGUGACUAGUUGAGUCUUAGAUUCAACGUGUACAUCUCAUUGUAAAAAGUGAAUUUCCUUUACUGUAUCGUUCUACAUCCAUGGACAUGAAGAUCUGAUCUUUUCUCUUUUCAUAGCCAUCCUUGUCAUGAUAUCUGAUCUUUUCUCCUUGUGUAGGUGUAUCUUUAGCAAUGGUGCUUUUUGAGUUGGAUGUCUUGCUCAGUUUCGUCAAUUUGGCUACUAGUUGCCAUGAGAUCUCUAUGAGUUGGGGCUGGCAGAUUCUAAACUUUUUCCAUUUGAAGUGGAAUACUUGGUUCCUCAAGAAUAUGUACAUAUAAUGAGACAGUCCAUGCUAAAUAGAUGCUCGAUUUCUUCUUACGAUCAAGUUUGUGAAAUGUUCAUGGAAGGGCUUAGGAGUAUGCCACAUGAAAGUCCUUUAGUGGUGGUUUGCCCUCGAAUAAUUACAGAAGACGCACGGGAGAAAUUAUCGGUAUAGCUGUCAGAUGUGCAGGUGGACUAUUGAUACUCGCAUCCAUUUUUUUUAUGGUGGAUGAAGGAUGCACCUGGCCAUAUGCGAGUGCACACAGACUCACCAAGAUUUGUAUUUUCAACAUUAUUGUAAUUGUAAUUGAUUGAAUGAAGGAUUGUAAUUGAUUCAUUAUUGAAUGAAUGAUUGUAAUUAAAUUAA